GUUGAACGCUGGCGGCAGGCCUAACACAUGCAAGUCGAAUGGUAACAGGAAACAGCUUGCUGUUUCGCUGACGAGUGGCGGGCGGGUGAGUAAUGUCUGGGAAACUGCCUGAUGGAGGGGGAUAACUACUGGAAACGGUAGCUAAUACCGCAUAACGUCGCAAGACCAAAGAGGGGGACCUUCGGGCCUCUUGCCAUCAGAUGUGCCCAGAUGGGAUUAGCUAGUAGGUGGGGUAACGGCUCACCUAGGCGACGAUCCCUAGCUGGUCUGAGAGGAUGACCAGCCACACUGGGACUGAGACACGGUCCAGACUCCUACGGGAGGCAGCAGUGGGGAAUAUUGCACAAUGGGCGCAAGCCUGAUGCAGCCAUGCCGCGUGUAUGAAGAAGGCCUUCGGGUUGUAAAGUACUUUCAGCGGGGAGGAAGGGAGUAAAGUUAAUACCUUUGCUCAUUGACGUUACCCGCAGAAGAAGCACCGGCUAACUCCGUG
RNAcentral lists this ribosomal RNA (490 nucleotides) under uncultured bacterium. RNAcentral describes it as "partial 16S ribosomal RNA". It matches the Rfam family "Bacterial small subunit ribosomal RNA", at positions 28 to 507 of the family's 1533-position model. The record is from RNAcentral.